RNA transcript from Bradysia coprophila, 3974 nucleotides. It is a transcript of the gene named EB domain-containing julius seizure protein, with no coding region annotated. The record is from RefSeq and is a predicted model, not a curated record. Lineage: Eukaryota; Metazoa; Arthropoda; Insecta; Diptera; Sciaridae.
UUCUUUGGUAAUCGAAUAGUUUCACUUCAGUUUUCGUAUACUGCAGACAUUGUUUGAUAGAAAUCACUUCCACGUGCGCGAUAUUUUCUGUUGUAUACCGUUACCAAUUGAAUACUUCUUUCAGCUGACUAUUUCAUAGGACACCUGAGCACCUAAACCACAAUCUACAACAUUAUUGUCAUUGUUUUUUAUCCUUCGUUCUUCGUUGUUCAUUUCUCGCGUUGUGUGUGUUAUUUUUUGUGUUUGUGAAACAAUCAAGCCUGUAAGCUUGUCUAAAUGUAGACUAUUUUUGGAUUUUGAUUUUUGUGAAAAUAUGUAAGAACGAUCAUCGUUUCGGCGACGUUUUUUCGCCAUGGAUGAAGAGCUUGGCAUCGCAGCAUGAAACGUGACGGGGCUUUAACGCCCCUGGGAGUACCUUCAAUUGUUCGGUCUCCCAACGGUGCUAACAACGCAAUGAGUCGUAAUCGUGUAAUAUUGAUGUGGUUUUUGUUGAGCUUGUGUUUCUUUCCAUGUGUCGUGUUAAGCGAAGAAGUAAAUAGUGAAACUGCGUUUAGCUUAGCGCCCGAAAUUACUACCACAGUGUUCGACUAUGCAAGCCGUGGAACAAAAAAAUUCGGUGACAAAUGUGAAUCAACACUGGAAUGUGGUUUCCCUGGCUCGGUAUGUGAUUCGAAGAAGAAAUCGUGUCAAUGUGUGGAAAAUCUUCCGAUAACUAAUCACCUGGACAAGUGUGGAAAGGAAGCGGCAAUAAAUGACACAUGUUUCUUCAACGAACAAUGUGAAGCUUUUAGCUUUCAAACCGUUUGUCGCGAUGGUCGAUGCAUUUGUCGUUUCGAUUUGUCACCGAUUAUUAAUAAGGAUGGAAGGAUUGAAUGCUAUGCAAAGCAAGAAUCACGUGAACCGGAGCGAUACGUAGAUCCAGCGAUGAUUGGCAUACUGGCUGGUAUGGCUCUCAUGUUUAUCAUCAUUUGUGUUGUACUGCGAUUGUUUAGUAGAGCUCGAUGGCAUGAAAAUCGUACCAUAUUUAAUACACCCAAUCCGCGAUUGAUGAAUGUAUCGCUAUUGCGUGACAACAAAUUGUUACACGGCCAGGAAAGACGCGGAUCACGAAUGUCUGUACGAAUGCCGUCACGUCAGCCGAGCAUGGCAUCGCUCAGGGCCCAUUCACCGAACCCAUCGUUAGAGAACCAAAAUACAAUACAAGAGACGAAAAUGCAUCCGUUAGCCAACAAAACCAGUAAUUAACGUGCUCUACCGGACAGAAAUUCGAUUUUUCCAUUACCAUUCAACCCAAAGUAAUGUUCAUUAUAAAUCAUGCGUUUUUGGUUUGUCGAUGCUAAAAUAAAAGCGCUUCAUGCAAUAAAUUAAUGGCUUUUAUAAAUCAAUUAAAAGUUGAAACAUAGAAAACAUCAACCACGAUCCCGACGUGGAUCCCGUGGUAGCAGCAAUGUAUCAGCGGCAUCCACACGUUCCAAUCGAAGUAAUCCAACAAAUGGACACGAGACAAAAAUAAUAGUAGCUGAUAGCGCUAAUGCACCAGGUGUAGAAAAAGUAACUAUAGAAAUAUCGGAAAUGAAAGCAUGAGUGUAUGAGGUGUCGCAUAAAUAAUCAUCAUUGAAGAACUUAAACAAAAAAAAAAUAAAUAAAAAUAAUUCAAAAUAAGCAAGAACAUCAUCAGCAAAAUCUCUUUUCCCAACAAAAUGGUGUUGCUUGCGCAAUAUGAGUAAAACUUGCUUAAAAUCAGCUUAUUCUCUUGUUUAAUAAAAAAAAAACUGUGGAAAACGUAAAGUCGAACACAAAUCGUCAACUUAAACUAUGUAAAACAAGAAAAGCCCUGUUGCCUAAUAGAAUAUUUUAUUAAAGUAGUAGAUUUAGUGUCACAAUUAUUAAUUAAAAACCAAAAACAAAAUAUAUGAAAAAUCUAUUAAAAAUCAAUGCGUAUAAUAAAACAAAAAAAUGAAAAAUAAUAAAAAAUAAAUAGCGUAGAUAAACUAACCUAAUUUAAAAUGCAAUACUUCUGGGACCAUACCAACUAAUUCAUUGAUAUGCGUUUCAUCGAAAAUUUAGCAAAAAAAAAAUAUUUCUAAACUGAAAAAUUACAUCACUGUUCUACCAAAUACGGACCCUUACUUACAGGGAUAAUAUUCAAAGGAUUUUAAAAAUCGUUCUUCUUUUUCUCGCGCUCCUAACUUACAUUUCACCAGCAAAAUGAGACAGUACAAUUUUGUUUAUCAUUACGUUAAAUUAAAUUUCUAAUUUGAAAUUGCGCCCAAACGUUUUUUUCUCUCUCGAAUGACUAAAAUUUCGGCCAACGGAAAUUCGAUAUUUUACUUAAGCUUUAAUCGAACAAAUUGUUAAAACUGAAUGGCGAUUUCGUUCCGUUGAAACAAAUAUUAUGGAAGCACAGACCAUUUGAAUGGAUUUCCUCUGCAAAGUGCCACCCAACCAAAAAUUAUCACUGAAAAAAAAAUUGAAACAUUUUUUAAAAACAUUUCAUUAAAAUCGGCUUCAUGAAUCGCCCCCUCCCAUAUUUUUCGGUGUUACUCGUGCCUAGAAACUUUUUUUUUACUUUUUUUGGUUUAUUCAUUAAUUUAAGAUGCAAAAUCGAUACUGUGUAACGAUCUAUAAAAUCAAAUCAACAUCCAUAUGCCAAUGAUAUUGUUUCAUUAUUGCUAAAACGAAGCUUAAAAAGUGAUAUUUUCUAGACCAUAAAUGAAAAUUAAAAGUAAAAAAAAAUAAUUAAAAACUAAAAACUAAAAAAAACACUCACACAUACUUUGAUACGUGAUAUUUUACGACACCUUCAACAAAAAAACAAAAAAUGGGAAUAAUAAAACGAUUUCGAUGUGCAAAUGAUUUUCUUUUUCUGCUAAUCUAGAUUUCUAACUUAGAAUUGAUUUGAACCGCGAUUUAAAUGGCUAAAUUGAUUAUCGUAAAUUUACUGAGCUUUAGACAAAUUUGUUUAAAAAUAAAAUUUAAAAAAAAAGAGAAAAUCUAGUAUUGAAACGUCCAAGAUCAGUAUAUAAACAUCAAAAAACUAACCAUGCACCAAAAAUAAUAAAUGAUAAACAAAACCGUAGUGUUUUCUAAAUACCUAAAAUUAAUAUAAACUAACUAAAAAAAACCAACAACCAAAUUUGCACAAGAAAUGAAUGAUCAAAUAAACAAUAAACGAGAAACAUUAAAAGAAAAUUUAGAAAAAAAAUUAACAAGAAGUUAAAAAAUUAACGGUAAGAUUUGAUUUGAGAGAUAUUCCCCUUUUUUCCAAAUAUAUUAAUAUAGAAAAUUUAUUAAAAUUUUGCUUAAAAUAAACUAAACUUAAAGUAAAGUUAAAAAAAUAAUUAAAAACAAAAAAAAAUAUUCUCAUUUGAUUUAGGUUUUUUAAUACUUAAAAAUGAUUAUAUCAAACGUAAUGAAGAAUCAAAUAAUUGUAAAAUACAGGCGUUCACAAUUAAAACACUUAAUUGAAAUUAAAUAAACUUUCAUUGAAAAAAGAAAAAAAAAGAAUAUAAAUUUAUUAAAUCUAAGGUAUCAAAUAGCAAAAAAAAACAAUUUAUUAGUGAAGCGUUCUCAUGUGUGUAGAUACUUAAAACGAACAAAACAGCAUUGAAAGUUUUAAUAUUUAAAGAACAAAACAACAAAAACAAGAUCUAAUUCUUACAAAAAAUAGCGGUAAUAAUUCGCAUAAAACCCAAACAUAAAUCUUUACAAACCAAAAAAUCCAACCAACCAUUUCCUUUUCGCAUAAAGUAUUUCUAUAGCCACUUGUUUUCUAUAAAAAAAUUUAGAUAAACAAAAAAUGAAGCAACCGUAAACAAACCUUCUAAUUCUAAGCUUUACAGCGAUAAAUAAAUCCUUGAUGACAAGUAAAUAAAGCGUAAAAAUCUAACUUUAUAGUUGUAGUGAACAGAAGAAAGUAAAAGAACGAAACACAAUAUCUCUCUUAUACAGGAUGCAAACUCAUUAAAAUAAUU